AGCAGCCGCGGUAAUUCCAGCUCCAAUAGCGUAUAUUAAAGUUGUUGCAGUUAAAAAGCUCGUAGUUGAAUUUCGAGAUCAAAUUGUUGGUCGUGCCUCGGUACGUACUGGCAUUAUUGAUUUCUCCCUUCUGAAGAACCUUGAUGUCAUUAAUUUGGUGUCUUGGGGAAUCAGGACCGUUACUUUGAAAAAAUUAGAGUGUUUAAAGCAGGCUCACGCUUGAAUACAUUAGCAUGGAAUAAUGAAAUAGGACGUUUGAUUCUAUUUUGUUGGUUUCUAGGAUCGACGUAAUGAUUAAUGGGGAUAGUUGGGGGCAUUAGUAUUCAAUUGUCAGAGGUGAAAUUCUUGGAUUUAUUGAAGACUAACUACUGCGAAAGCAUUUGCCAAGGAUGUUUUCAUUAAUCAAGAACGAAAGUUAGGGGAUCGAAGACGAUCAGAUACCGUCGUAGUCUUAACCAUAAACUAUGCCGACUAGGGAUCGGAUGAUGUUAAUUUUUAAUGUACUCAUUCGGCGCCUUAA
This 520-nucleotide ribosomal RNA is filed under the name uncultured Glomus. Its description in RNAcentral is "SSU rRNA". It matches the Rfam family "Eukaryotic small subunit ribosomal RNA", at positions 569 to 1091 of the family's 1831-position model. The record is from RNAcentral. Lineage: Eukaryota; Fungi; Glomeromycota; Glomeromycetes; Glomerales; Glomeraceae.